This 464-nucleotide ribosomal RNA is filed under the name uncultured bacterium. RNAcentral describes it as "partial 16S ribosomal RNA". It matches the Rfam family "Bacterial small subunit ribosomal RNA", at positions 28 to 506 of the family's 1533-position model. The record is from RNAcentral.
GACGAACGCUGGCGGCGUGCUUAACACAUGCAAGUCGUACGGUAAGGCCCUUUCGGGGGUACACGAGUGGCGAACGGGUGAGUAACACGUGAGUAACCUGCCCACAACUUUGGGAUAACGCUAGGAAACUGGUGCUAAUACUGGAUAUUUGCUCCUGCUGCAUGGUGGGGGUUGGAAAGCUCCGGCGGUUGUGGAUGGACUCGCGGCCUAUCAGCUUGUUGGUGGGGUAGUGGCCUACCAAGGCGGCAACGGGUAGCCGGCCUGAGAGGGUGACCGGCCACAUUGGGACUGAGAUAGGGCCCAGACUCCUACGGGAGGCAGAAGUGGGGAAGAUUGAAAAAUGGGCGCAAGCCUGAUGCAGCAACGCCGCGUGCGGGAUGACGGCCUUCGGGUUGUAAACCGAUUUCAGCAGGGACGAAGCUUUUUGGGACGGUACCUGCAGAAGAAGCACCGGCUAACUACGU